GGUAGGAUGGCCGAGUGUAUAGGUGGUGGGUUGUAGCCCCGAAGACAGAGGUUUAAUUCCUCUUCCUACCA
This 71-nucleotide transfer RNA is filed under the name Erimyzon oblongus (creek chubsucker). RNAcentral's name for it is "tRNA-Tyr". It matches the Rfam family "tRNA". Rfam says of the family: Transfer RNA (tRNA) molecules are approximately 80 nucleotides in length. Their secondary structure includes four short double-helical elements and three loops (D, anti-codon, and T loops). Lineage: Eukaryota; Metazoa; Chordata; Actinopteri; Cypriniformes; Catostomidae. The record is from RNAcentral.